Molecule: unclassified non-coding RNA, 157 nt
Filed under: uncultured Pilidiella
Lineage: Eukaryota; Fungi; Ascomycota; Sordariomycetes; Diaporthales; Schizoparmaceae
Also listed under: 1 other name
Description: sequence contains ITS2
Source: RNAcentral
CAACCCUCAAGCCUAGCUUGGUGUUGGAGCACUACCAGUUAAACGGUAGGCUCUGAAAUUCAGUGGCGGGCUCGCUAAGACUCUGAGCGUAGUAGUUUAUCACCUCGCUUUGGAUGGAUUAGCGGUGCUCUUGCCGUAAAACCCCCCAAUUUCUGAA